RNAcentral lists this small nuclear RNA (195 nucleotides) under Coccidioides immitis H538.4. RNAcentral describes it as "U2 spliceosomal RNA". It matches the Rfam family "U2 spliceosomal RNA". Rfam says of the family: U2 is a small nuclear RNA (snRNA) component of the spliceosome (involved in pre-mRNA splicing). The record is from Rfam by way of RNAcentral. Lineage: Eukaryota; Fungi; Ascomycota; Eurotiomycetes; Onygenales; Onygenaceae.
CCAGCUCUCUUUGCCAUUAUGGCUUAGAUCAAGUGUAGUAUCUGUUCUUUUCAGUUUAAUCUCUGAAAGUAUUCUAAGGAAUACAACAUUGAUUAAUCUUAUUUUUUGGAUCCCGCAGGAAAAUCUCUGUGCUUGCGCAUGUUUUCCGGCACCGUGUCAUCAGUCUUACACUACCGCUGAUUGACGCGAAUUUUC